UCGAAAGAACCGGGUAAUCUGUUGAAUUCCCUCGUGACAGGGAUCGGGGCUUGCAAUUAUUCCCCGUGAACGAGGAAUUCCCAGUAAGCGCAAGUCAUCAGCUUGCGUUGAUUACGUCCCUGCCCUUUGUACACACCGCCCGUCGCUACUACCGAUUGAAUGGUUUAGCAAGGUCCUCGGAUUGGUGCCGACUUGGUGGCAACACUAGGUCGGAUACUGAAAAGAAGAUCAAACUUGAUCAUUUAGAGGAAGUAAAAGUCGUAACAAGGUUUCCGUAGGUGAACCUGCGGAAGGAUCAUUA
This is a non-coding RNA of Macrostomum lignano, 301 nucleotides long. The record is from Rfam. Lineage: Eukaryota; Metazoa; Platyhelminthes; Macrostomidae.